RNAcentral lists this ribosomal RNA (827 nucleotides) under Streptococcus sp. HGH0175. Its description in RNAcentral is "bacterial SSU rRNA". It matches the Rfam family "Bacterial small subunit ribosomal RNA", at positions 61 to 869 of the family's 1533-position model. Lineage: Bacteria; Bacillati; Bacillota; Bacilli; Lactobacillales; Streptococcaceae. The record is from RNAcentral.
GCACAGUUUAUACCGUAGCUUGCUACACCAUAGACUGUGAGUUGCGAACGGGUGAGUAACGCGUAGGUAACCUGCCUAUUAGAGGGGGAUAACUAUUGGAAACGAUAGCUAAUACCGCAUAACAGUAUGUAACACAUGUUAGAUGCUUGAAAGAUGCAAUUGCAUCGCUAGUAGAUGGACCUGCGUUGUAUUAGCUAGUAGGUAGGGUAAUGGCCUACCUAGGCGACGAUACAUAGCCGACCUGAGAGGGUGAUCGGCCACACUGGGACUGAGACACGGCCCAGACUCCUACGGGAGGCAGCAGUAGGGAAUCUUCGGCAAUGGGGGGAACCCUGACCGAGCAACGCCGCGUGAGUGAAGAAGGUUUUCGGAUCGUAAAGCUCUGUUGUUAAGGAAGAACGAGUGUGAGAAUGGAAAGUUCAUACUGUGACGGUACUUAACCAGAAAGGGACGGCUAACUACGUGCCAGCAGCCGCGGUAAUACGUAGGUCCCGAGCGUUGUCCGGAUUUAUUGGGCGUAAAGCGAGCGCAGGCGGUUAGAAAAGUCUGAAGUGAAAGGCAGUGGCUCAACCAUUGUAGGCUUUGGAAACUGUUUAACUUGAGUGCAGAAGGGGAGAGUGGAAUUCCAUGUGUAGCGGUGAAAUGCGUAGAUAUAUGGAGGAACACCGGUGGCGAAAGCGGCUCUCUGGUCUGUAACUGACGCUGAGGCUCGAAAGCGUGGGGAGCGAACAGGAUUAGAUACCCUGGUAGUCCACGCCGUAAACGAUGAGUGCUAGGUGUUGGGUCCUUUCCGGGACUCAGUGCCGCAGCUAACGCAUUAAGCACUC